GACCUCUUUAUGACUUUAUCAUGUAAACAUCGUGAUUUCUUUUUUUAACCUUAGCAAAAAUUUUUACACUUUGAGAUUAUUAUAUUAAUAUUAGUAUUAUUAUUUUAGUUUUCCAUUUUUUUUUACAAACUAUUUUGUUCAUUUGUUGCGAACUAGCUGUUAAUGGACUUAUCAUUUUUUAAUGAUAUUAUUUUUGUAUCAUUUUUUAAAUAUGUUUUUGCUCUGCUUUUGUUUUCAUUCCCAAUUAUUUUGACUGAAAAAAUACUUUUAGGUCCUAAUUUACGCUUUUUUGUAAAUAGUACUAAUCUUACACUAGUAAUGAAUUUCAAGAAGUAAUUAGUCAUUUUUACAAAGCUUAUUAAAUCAUUUCACUUUGUCUGUCUGUCUCUGAGUGUUAAAAAAUUGUACACUUUAUUAUUGGUAAUUUUUUUAUUCUUGGUAUCUCAAACAAGGGUGAAAAUGUGUACUUAAAUGAAGCGGUGGUAUAAGCUCAAUUUGUCCACUUUAUGGGUCGUCGUUUAAGUCUUAGUGAACACCACAUGAAAACUAGGACGAGAUUAUGGAAAACAAAAAGCUUUAAAAGAUAACUAUACAAUUUUCCGUCAAGUUCCAUAGUCGUAGGUUCUCUACUAACAGAGCGGUUACCGUGUUGGCUUUAGAAGCCUGAAAAGGUUUUAGCUAUGAGUUCGAAUUUAGGUUGUUUCCCCUUUUUUAAUUUGCAUAAUUGUUUUUUUUUUUAUUGUUAGUCUAGAGUCUAGAUCUAUUAAACAUUUAAUUACAUGACAGAUCCAAAAAGAUCGAUACAAAAAUGCUUAACUUAAGCUUUUUUUUUUUCUUUAAUGCAUUUUUUUUGUUUUGUUUUUACUAUAUCAAAUAAACAACAAGUAAUUUUUAGAGUGUCACACUGUUUGGCAACUUUACUCUAAUUUUGUCAUUUACCAUUUUAGUUCCUUUUAUUGGGAGACCAAAACUCGCAUUAAACAACAGACAGAACUAGAUAGAGACAUCCGUUCACAUUAAAGUUAGAUAAAAAAAACAAAAACAAAACAAUAACACGAAAUUGACACUGAAAAAUCGAAAUAGUUGUUUCAGCAAUGUUAAUAAUACUGAUUCUAUGAUGUGUUAUACAGUAUAAUUUUAUUUGAUUAGUGUUUAACAGCUGUAAAAGUUAUAUUAGUAAAAUAAAUAACAAUUAAAUGUGUAAUCCCUCUAUUGCUAGUAUCUGCACAAAUAGUUUAAAACCUGUUA
This is a non-coding RNA of Biomphalaria pfeifferi, 1248 nucleotides long. Lineage: Eukaryota; Metazoa; Mollusca; Gastropoda; Planorbidae. The record is from the annotation of a GenBank genome assembly.